This 460-nucleotide ribosomal RNA is filed under the name uncultured bacterium. RNAcentral's name for it is "partial 16S ribosomal RNA". It matches the Rfam family "Bacterial small subunit ribosomal RNA", at positions 338 to 795 of the family's 1533-position model. The record is from RNAcentral.
CCUACGGGUGGCAGCAGUGAGGAAUAUUGGUCAAUGGCCGGAAGGCUGAACCAGCCAAGUCGCGUGAGGGAAUAAGGCCCUAUGGGUCGUAAACCUCUUUUGUCAGGGAGCAAAGGCGUCCACGAGUGUACGAAAGGAGAGUACCUGAAGAAAAAGCAUCGGCUAACUCCGUGCCAGCAGCCGCGGUAAUACGGGGGAUGCGAGCGUUAUCCGGAUUUAUUGGGUUUAAAGGUUGCGUAGGGGGAGUGUCAAGUCAGCGGUAAAUUUUCGGGGCUCACCCCCGUCGUGCCGUUGAAACUGACACUCUAGAGUGAGUGAGAAGUAAGCGGAAUGCGUGGUGUAGCGGUGAAAUGCAUAGAUAUCACGCAGAACGCCGAUUGCGAAGGCAGCUUACCGGCGUUCAACUGACGCUGAGGCACGAAAGUGCGGGUAUCGAACAGGAUUAGAUACCCGAGUAGUC